Alosa sapidissima (American shad) is the source of this 869-nucleotide long non-coding RNA. RefSeq lists it as uncharacterized. The record is from RefSeq and is a predicted model, not a curated record. The transcript is spliced from 3 exons. Lineage: Eukaryota; Metazoa; Chordata; Actinopteri; Clupeiformes; Clupeidae.
GCACUCCAGUACGCUGGCUCCCCAGACACUGACUCCUCUGCCGGAGAACCGGUGGCAUACCGGACGAAACUCAUAUAGCCGGGAUGAACAUCACAGUUGAAUGGUGGACAAAUCUACAUAACUCCGUCGCCUUGGAUGUCACUCUCAAGUCACAGCAGGAAGUACUGCCAUCUUGCUUACAGAUGGGACUGGUUUUGGAUAAUCCAUGGGCCAGACAUCACCAACCUACCUUUCCCCGAUGGCCCUGAUGCCGCUUGAAAUAAAGGGACACAAACCAGCUAAAUACACAGCCUCAUGCCUUCAUCGAUAUACUCCCAAGCUGAUGGAAACAUCUGUUAGUGUGCAGAGAUUGUGUGACUGUACCUAGGGCCAGUAUAAAUGACUUCAUAUGGCAUGCUGGAAAAUAUGAAAGAGAUUAAUUCAUUUCAGACUAGGUUGCGGGUCUGGUAACAGUAGGUCAAGGGCAAAGCCAAUAAGCAGAGCCAAUGAGUCUCUCCAAGAAUCCAGCCAACUGACUGUAUUUAGCUUUGUUCUAAAACAUCUACCCUAUCCGAUACCCUAAGAUACAGUAUGUAGCUGAAGCUGCAUUGUGUUAAAAACACUUUCAAUAAUAAAGCAUCAAGGAAAUAUCAGUUAACAUAUGGUGAAUCACAUCCGCCUAUAAAUCCUGUCACUAGUAGGUUUUGAUGAUGGUGGCUUUAGUGCAUACUAUAGACUCUGUCAACUGCAUGAACAAUCAUGUGCGUUUCUAAAGCCUUUCUGGUGGCACAGAAAACAACAUUGACCUAAUGAUAAUUUGGGAACAAAAAAAUCAAUAAAUAAAUAAAUCGACAUUUUGUAGGACAAUACACUAAAAUCUGAUUAAUUUU